RNAcentral lists this ribosomal RNA (84 nucleotides) under Rhizobium oryzicola. RNAcentral's name for it is "partial 16S ribosomal RNA". It matches the Rfam family "Bacterial small subunit ribosomal RNA", at positions 1450 to 1533 of the family's 1533-position model. Lineage: Bacteria; Pseudomonadati; Pseudomonadota; Alphaproteobacteria; Hyphomicrobiales; Rhizobiaceae. The record is from RNAcentral.
CAGGCGACCACGGUAGGGUCAGCGACUGGGGUGAAGUCGUAACAAGGUAGCCGUAGGGGAACCUGCGGCUGGAUCACCUCCUUU